This 204-nucleotide ribosomal RNA is filed under the name uncultured bacterium. RNAcentral's name for it is "partial 16S ribosomal RNA". It matches the Rfam family "Bacterial small subunit ribosomal RNA", at positions 568 to 774 of the family's 1533-position model. The record is from RNAcentral.
CGCGUAGGCGGUCAUUCAAGUCAUCUGUAAAAUGGAAGGGCUUAACCCUUCAGGGCAGAUGAAACUGGAAGACUGGAGGUGCACAGAAGCAGGCAGAAUUCCUGGUGUAGCGGUGAAAUGCGUAGAUAUCAGGAAGAAUACCAGUGGCGAAGGCGGCCUGCCGGGUGCAAACUGACGCUGAAGCGCGAAGCCAGGGAGCAAACA